Molecule: ribosomal RNA, 459 nt
Filed under: uncultured bacterium
Lineage: Bacteria
Description: bacterial SSU rRNA
Rfam family: Bacterial small subunit ribosomal RNA
Source: RNAcentral
AGCGAACGCUGGCGGCAGGCUUAACACAUGCAAGUCGAACGCCAUCUUCGGAUGGAGUGGCAGACGGGUGAGUAACGCGUGGGAACGUGCCCUUUGGUACGGAAUAGCCCCGGGAAACUGGGAGUAAUACCGUAUAAGCUCUUCGGAGGAAAGAUUUUAUCGCCAAAGGAUCGGCCCGCGUUGGAUUAGCUAGUUGGCGGGGUAAAGGCCCACCAAGGCGACGAUCGGUAGCUGGUCUGAGAGGAUGAUCAGCCACACUGGAACUGAGACACGGUCCAGACUCCUACGGGAGGCAGCAGUGGGGAAUUUUGGACAAUGGACGCAAGUCUGAUCCAGCCAUUCCGCGUGCAGGAUGAAGGCCCUCGGGUUGUAAACUGCUUUUGUACGGAACGAAAAGGUUCCCAUUAAUACUGGGAGCUCAUGACGGUACCGUAAGAAUAAGCACCGGCUAACUACGUG